This 248-nucleotide ribosomal RNA is filed under the name uncultured bacterium. RNAcentral describes it as "partial small subunit ribosomal RNA". It matches the Rfam family "Bacterial small subunit ribosomal RNA", at positions 26 to 286 of the family's 1533-position model. The record is from RNAcentral.
AGAAUCAACGCUGGCGGCGUGCCUAACACAUGCAAGUCGAACGAGAAAGUGGAGCAAUCCAUGAGUAAAGUGGCGGCACGGGUGAGUAACACGUGACUAACCUACCCUUGGAGUGGGGGAUAACCUAGGGAAACCUGGGCUAAUACCGCAUAAUACCUUCGGGUCAAAGGAGCAAUUCGCUUAAGGAGGGGGUCGCGGCCGAUUAGUUAGUUGGCGGGGUAAUGGCCCACCAAGACUGUGAUCGGUAU